RNAcentral lists this long non-coding RNA (488 nucleotides) under Eutrema salsugineum. RNAcentral describes it as "long non-coding RNA (ESAL_LNC000421)". Lineage: Eukaryota; Viridiplantae; Streptophyta; Magnoliopsida; Brassicales; Brassicaceae. The record is from RNAcentral.
UCUUUAAUUGCCUGUGAUUUUGCUUCAUCUUCUCCAUUGUAAAAAUCUCCAAGAGAGGGAAAAUGUUGUAUGUAUAAUCUGCCUCUAGUCUCAGCUUAUGCUUUUGUCCUCAACCCUGUGGCUGUCUCUGUUUCUUCUUGUUAAAAAGCUGUAGAAAAUUUCGAUCCGGAUGAUAAAUCUAAAAAUCUCAGAACUUGUAAGUGAAUAACGAAAAAUAGAAAGAAAAUAGAGUACUAUAUAUAUAGUAGUCUCUGGUUUAGUCUUGUUAGUUUCCAGAGAGCAAAAAAAAAAAAACAUGGAUACGGAAAUAAUCAUACAAGGAGCAAUUUUGGCACUAACCUUCGUUACGUUCUGGGCGAUUAAGUAUCUGUCUCAACAAGGCAUAACCAAGUUCCGAACCAAACACCGAGCCACACUCCAAACCCAGCGUCAGCUAAUCCAAGCCUCUCGUCUCCUCGCUCGGGCUCGAACCACAAACAAGAAAUCCC